Molecule: transfer RNA, 68 nt
Filed under: Ceratophysella communis
Lineage: Eukaryota; Metazoa; Arthropoda; Collembola; Poduromorpha; Hypogastruridae
Description: tRNA-Trp
Rfam family: tRNA
About the family: Transfer RNA (tRNA) molecules are approximately 80 nucleotides in length. Their secondary structure includes four short double-helical elements and three loops (D, anti-codon, and T loops). Further hydrogen bonds mediate the characteristic L-shaped molecular structure. tRNAs have two regions of fundamental functional importance: the anti-codon, which is responsible for specific mRNA codon recognition, and the 3' end, to which the tRNAs corresponding amino acid is attached (by aminoacyl-tRNA synthetases). tRNAs cope with the degeneracy of the genetic code in two manners: having more than one tRNA (with a specific anti-codon) for a particular amino acid; and 'wobble' base-pairing, i.e. permitting non-standard base-pairing at the 3rd anti-codon position.
Source: RNAcentral
AAAGUUUUAAGUUAAUAAGACUAGGAGCCUUCAAAGCUUUAAGCAAGAGUUCACCCCCUUAAACUUUA